RNAcentral lists this transfer RNA (74 nucleotides) under Elusimicrobiota bacterium. RNAcentral's name for it is "Elusimicrobia bacterium tRNA-Thr". It matches the Rfam family "tRNA". From Rfam's summary of the family: Transfer RNA (tRNA) molecules are approximately 80 nucleotides in length. Lineage: Bacteria; Pseudomonadati; Elusimicrobiota. The record is from RNAcentral.
GCCUCCAUAGCUUAUUAUGAAUAAAGCCCCUCUUUGUAGGAGGGAGAACGUGGGUUAAAAUCCCACAGGAGGCU